This 254-nucleotide ribosomal RNA is filed under the name uncultured bacterium. RNAcentral describes it as "partial 16S ribosomal RNA". It matches the Rfam family "Bacterial small subunit ribosomal RNA", at positions 57 to 305 of the family's 1533-position model. The record is from RNAcentral.
GCAAGUCGAACGGCGGCACGGGUGCUUGCACUUUGAUGACGAGUGGCGCACGGGUGCGCAACGCGUAUAGAACCUACCCUGUACAGGGGGAUAGCCCAGAGAAAUUUGGAUUAAUACCCCGUGGUAAAUAUAAAUGGCAUCAUUUAUAUUUUAAAGUUUUCGGACGGUACAGGAUGGCUAUGCGUCCUAUUAGUUAGAUGGCGAGGUAACGGCUCACCAUGGCAGCGAUAGGUAGGGGCCCUGAGAGGGGGAUC